UACGGAGGGUGCGAGCGUUAUCCGGAAUUACUGGGUUUAAAGGGUGCGUAGGCGGCUUGGUAAGUCAGGAGUGAAAGUUUGCGGCUCAACCGUAAAAUUGCUUUUGAUACUGCCAGGCUAGAAUUAGGAUGAGGUCAGCGGAAUGUGGCAUGUAGCGGUGAAAUGCAUAGAUAUGCCAUAGAACACCAAUUGCGAAGGCAGCUGGCUAGACCUGUAUUGACGCUGAGGCACGAAAGCGUGGGGAGCGAACAGG
This 253-nucleotide ribosomal RNA is filed under the name uncultured bacterium. Its description in RNAcentral is "partial 16S ribosomal RNA". It matches the Rfam family "Bacterial small subunit ribosomal RNA", at positions 524 to 776 of the family's 1533-position model. The record is from RNAcentral.